UUGAGUUUCCCCUUCACUUGCGGAGGAAACCCUAGCUGUGGCCCCAAAACCUUCAAUCAUCCUUCCCUCGGCGUCGCGAACCACUCCGGCGACAGAGCAGAGGAGAUCACCGGGUUGCCACGAUGCAUCGACGUUCAUCUUCAGAUUUUGCCCUUCCGGAGGCCUCCACGGACCAGCAGAUCUGCUGGUCGGGGUUCCUGCGCACGAAAGAUCCGGUUGUUUCGCGCCUUCCAGAUGUUCCACAGAACCAGACUGACCAGCUCUCGCUCGGGUUUUCCUUCGUCGGGAGGGCGUUCGGCAAAUACUCCGGAGGAAGGAGCGAAUUUUUUGGGGGCACAUCGAGACUCCACAUUUGUGUCCAUAAGGAUGCUUUGCCAUCCCCAUGAUGGGCGACUACCCUUGGAAGCAUGCCAGAUAUCUCCGUCGGGAAAAUAAAGCCCUUUCAAUACUCUGCUCCAUAGGGCUUGAGGGGAGGUAGCUAAUCGCCAGGCCUGUUUGCCUAGCAUGGCUCGAUUAAAGCAUCACCAUUCUGCCACCAGAAAGACGCAAUACGUUGUUCUAUGGCUCGACAGAUCGAUAAUGGCAGCUUGAAGGUGGACAUGGCAUAGCCAUGAUCCACGAAAACAUCUCUUUCUUGGAUUGGCC
Long non-coding RNA from Eucalyptus grandis, 645 nucleotides. RefSeq lists it as uncharacterized. The transcript is spliced from 6 exons. NCBI's taxonomy places the organism in Eukaryota, Viridiplantae, Streptophyta, Magnoliopsida, Myrtales, Myrtaceae. The record is from RefSeq and is a predicted model, not a curated record.